RNAcentral lists this long non-coding RNA (405 nucleotides) under Gossypium raimondii (Peruvian cotton). Its description in RNAcentral is "long non-coding RNA (GRAI_LNC009864)". Lineage: Eukaryota; Viridiplantae; Streptophyta; Magnoliopsida; Malvales; Malvaceae. The record is from RNAcentral.
AUGGACUCAAAAUAAAGUUUAAAAUAAACACUACAUAGAAUAAUAGUAAUAACAAUAAAUUAAUUAAUAAGCUGGUUAAUCGAAAAAAUAAAAAUGACUCAAUCACAAUUCGAACUGAAUUAAUGGGAAACAAAAUAAAAUAGAAAUUAACAAAAACAAUAUGCAGGGUUAAAACGCAAUUAAACAAAAUUAACAAGGAACAAAUGAAAUAAAUAAAAAAUAAAACGAGGGAUUGAAAAGCAAUGCGCGGAUUACAUGAAGGACUAAAAAGGGAAAUACCCCCUAUCUCAAAAUGCGGCACUUUGAUGCGGAUCAAAUCGAAACAAAAAUAAAAUAAAAUGUUAUAUUUAAAAAGGAAAUAAAAUAAAAAAAGUAUCGAAUUGAAAUACUAUUGCAAGGCGGAGG